UACGGAGGGUGCAAGCAUUAAUCGGAUUUAUUGGGCGUAAAGGGCGCGUAGGCGGAAAUAUAAGUCAGGUGUGAAAUCCCGGGGCUCAACCCCGGAACAGCAUUUGAAACUGUAUAUCUAGAGGGUAGGCGGAGAAAACGGAAUUCCACAAGUAGCGGUGAAAUGCGUAGAUAUGUGGAAGAACACCGGUGGCGAAGGCGGUUUUCUAGCUUAUACCUGACGCUAAUGCGCGAGAGCAAGGGGAUCAAACAGG
RNAcentral lists this ribosomal RNA (253 nucleotides) under uncultured bacterium. RNAcentral describes it as "partial 16S ribosomal RNA". It matches the Rfam family "Bacterial small subunit ribosomal RNA", at positions 524 to 776 of the family's 1533-position model. The record is from RNAcentral.